UUGCAGCCAAUUAAGUCAACCAUGCUCUUUUCCCCAUGGGGGCCUGGUUUUCAAUGACUGCAAACAACAGCAUUCUUGAUAUCCAACCUGCUGCUAAGCAUGGGUUGCCUUAAGGGACCUUGGAUACAGCC
Molecule: small nucleolar RNA, 131 nt
Organism: Pipistrellus kuhlii (Kuhl's pipistrelle)
Lineage: Eukaryota; Metazoa; Chordata; Mammalia; Chiroptera; Vespertilionidae
Product: small nucleolar RNA SNORA70
Exons: 1
Source: RefSeq, a predicted model, not a curated record